ACGAACGCUGGCGGCGUGCUUAACACAUGCAAGUCGAACGGAAAGGCCCUGCUUUUGUUGGGUGCUCGAGUGGCGAACGGGUGAGUAACACGUGAGUAACCUGCCCUUGACUUUGGGAUAACUUCAGGAAACUGGGGCUAAUACCGGAUAGGAGCUCCUGCUGCAUGGUGGGGGUUGGAAAGUUUCGGCGGUUGGGGAUGGACUCGCGGCUUAUCAGCUUGUUGGUGGGGUAGUGGCUUACCAAGGCUUUGACGGGUAGCCGGCCUGAGAGGGUGACCGGCCACAUUGGGACUGAGAUACGGCCCAGACUCCUACGGGAGGCAGCAGUGGGGAAUAUUGCACAAUGGGCGGAAGCCUGAUGCAGCAACGCCGCGUGCGGGAUGACGGCCUUCGGGUUGUAAACCGCUUUCGCCUGUGACGAAGCGUGAGUGACGGUAAUGGGUAAAGAAGCACCGGCUAACUACGUG
This 467-nucleotide ribosomal RNA is filed under the name uncultured bacterium. RNAcentral's name for it is "partial 16S ribosomal RNA". It matches the Rfam family "Bacterial small subunit ribosomal RNA", at positions 29 to 507 of the family's 1533-position model. The record is from RNAcentral.